Molecule: ribosomal RNA, 467 nt
Filed under: uncultured bacterium
Lineage: Bacteria
Description: partial 16S ribosomal RNA
Rfam family: Bacterial small subunit ribosomal RNA
Source: RNAcentral
GGCGAACGCUGGCGGCGUGCUUAACACAUGCAAGUCGAACGAUGACGACCGAGCUUGCUCGGUCUGAUUAGUGGCGAACGGGUGAGUAACACGUGAGCAACCUGCCCUUCACUCUGGGAUAACCUCGGGAAAUCGGGGCUAAUACCGGAUAUGAGCUCCUGUCGCAUGGCGGGUGUUGGAAAGUUUUUCGGUGAAGGAUGGGCUCGCGGCCUAUCAGUUUGUUGGUGGGGUAGUGGCUCACCAAGGCGAUGACGGGUAGCCGGCCUGAGAGGGCGACCGGCCACACUGGGACUGAGACACGGCCCAGACUCCUACGGGAGGCAGCAGUGGGGAAUAUUGCACAAUGGGCGAAAGCCUGAUGCAGCGACGCCGCGUGAGGGAUGACGGCCUUCGGGUUGUAAACCUCUUUCAGCAGGGAAGAAGCGAAAGUGACGGUACCUGCAGAAGAAGCGCCGGCUAACUACGUG